This 468-nucleotide ribosomal RNA is filed under the name uncultured bacterium. RNAcentral's name for it is "partial 16S ribosomal RNA". It matches the Rfam family "Bacterial small subunit ribosomal RNA", at positions 28 to 507 of the family's 1533-position model. The record is from RNAcentral.
GACGAACGCUGGCGGCGUGCUUAACACAUGCAGGUCGAACGGAAAGGCCCUGCUUUUGUGGGGUGCUCGAGUGGCGAACGGGUGAGUAACACGUGAGUAACCUGCCCUUGACUUUGGGAUAACUUCAGGAAACUGGGGCUAAUACCGGAUAGGAGCUCCUGCUGCAUGGUGGGGGUUGGAAAGUUUCGGCGGUUGUGGAUGGACUCGCGGCUUAUCAGCUUGUUGGUGGGGUAGUGGCUUACCAAGGCUUUGACGGGUAGCCGGCCUGAGAGGGUGACCGGCCACAUUGGGACUGAGAUACGGCCCAGACUCCUACGGGAGGCAGCAGUGGGGAAUAUUGCACAAUGGGCGGAAGCCUGAUGCAGCAACGCCGCGUGCGGGAUGACGGCCUUCGGGUUGUAAACCGCUUUCGCCUGUGACGAAGCGUGAGUGACGGUAAUGGGUAAAGAAGCACCGGCUAACUACGUG